Hibiscus syriacus is the source of this 602-nucleotide long non-coding RNA. RefSeq lists it as uncharacterized. NCBI's taxonomy places the organism in Eukaryota, Viridiplantae, Streptophyta, Magnoliopsida, Malvales, Malvaceae. The record is from RefSeq and is a predicted model, not a curated record. The transcript is spliced from 3 exons.
CUUCUUUGCUAAAAUGAGAGGAGAGAGAGGGAGAGUUCAGAACUCUCUCAACUGGAGAGAGCAAGGCCAUGGUAGCCGGAGUCUCCAACGGCGGGGCCAACUGCGAUGCACGGCGUCUCACGGCGGCCGGAGCUACACAAACAACCCCAAUUGAAACCUCUAAACCCCCUAAACUUCUAUAUACAAACCCCUUUUCCAAAAAAACCACACAGAAAGUCCUAGAUCUAGGAUGAGACCAUUCGAAAAAUUAAGAUCUAGUGACACACUUUCGCCUCCGACGAACUUAUACUCAAUUUCGGUGGAUUAAUGAUGGAGUAGGGUAUGGGAAAUGGCACAUCAUAGGGGACAAAAAUUGGUAUAUACACUUCUGCUGUGGGUGGGUUGAGUGCACCGUACAAAAAAGCUUCUCAUGUACAUGAAAGGCCUUUGGUGAAUUGGCUCUGGGCUGCGGGUUGUCACCCGUUUGGACCGUUCUCAAAUACAUCACAAAUCAGCCGAAUGCUUCAGGAUGUUGCAUUGAUUCGAUGACAAAUCCUUUUGAAGAGUGGGGGAAUGAUACAUGCACCAGAGUCCAUAAUACAUGCUUCUUUGGACUAAUGUUU